This 490-nucleotide ribosomal RNA is filed under the name uncultured bacterium. Its description in RNAcentral is "partial 16S ribosomal RNA". It matches the Rfam family "Bacterial small subunit ribosomal RNA", at positions 28 to 507 of the family's 1533-position model. The record is from RNAcentral.
GAUGAACGCUAGCGAUAGGCUUAACACAUGCAAGUCGAGGGGCAGCAUGGUCUUAGCUUGCUAAGACUGAUGGCGACCGGCGCACGGGUGGGGAACGCGUAUGCAACUUGCCUCACAGAUGGGGAUAACCCGUCGAAAUACGGACUAAUACCGCGUACACUCCAUCUUGGGCGUCCAAGGUAGAGGAAAUGAAAGUCGCUGUGGGAUAGGCAUGCGUCCCAUUAGCUAGUUGGUGAGGUAACGGCGCACGAAGGCGACGAUGGGCAGGGGAACUGAGAGGAGGAACCCCCACAGGGUGACUGGGACACGGGGCAGAGUGCUACGGGAGGCAGCAGUGAGGAAUAUUGGACAGUGGGAGAGAGCCUGAACCAGCCAAGUCGCGUGAAGCAUGACUGUCUUAUGGAUGGUAACCUUCUGUUAGAAGGGCACAACAAGAGGCACGGGUGCCUCACUGACGGUACCGUAUGAAUAAGCAUCGGCUAACUCCGUG